GCCUCUGGGAGAAGGCAGAAAGAAGAGACCGAAGAUGAAGAUGAGGAGGAGGAGGAUCUUCAUCAGUUCUCAAACGCUUCGAGAGAGCGAGAGAGGAAGCCCGGCGGUUUCCUCAGAGAUCAGAUGGUGGCUCUUCAUCUCACAGUUCCUGCUGUUGACAGAAAGCUGCUCUACAUGUGACCUUUCACGGCGUCGCCAUGAGGCCUCGCUCUGCAGGGUUUCGUCGGACUGGAGGCCCUCCGUUCACUCUUACCUGCCCCGGGGAGCCCGAAGACCAGGAGCAGCAGGCCGGAGAGCCUCAUCGGGGACGGCAUGGCUGAACUACGCUUUCUUCAGGCGGCGUCGAGCAGGACACGGCAGACGAGGCUGGUGCGCUUCUGCGAGACUCGAAGUGGAACAGGAAGUGGGGAGAAGCCGAGUGCCAGGUGACAUGCAGCGACACACUUUGUCUAACGCACUCCCCCACACAGGAGGAGACGGCAAGCACAAAAGCAACACGCUUCACUCUCCACCUCCAGGAGCUCAAACAUCUCCAGAGAAACCUUCUGCUCCUCCUCUGGGUUCAUCUAAUUCAGCUGUGAAACAGAAACUUCAGAACAUUUCAUCAGAAUCCACACACAAACAUCAUGCUUUUUUUUUAUUUGCUUUAUCAGCUAAUAAAUCUAAACACACA
Long non-coding RNA from Oryzias melastigma (Indian medaka), 673 nucleotides. RefSeq lists it as uncharacterized. The record is from RefSeq and is a predicted model, not a curated record. The transcript is spliced from 2 exons. NCBI's taxonomy places the organism in Eukaryota, Metazoa, Chordata, Actinopteri, Beloniformes, Adrianichthyidae.